Molecule: ribosomal RNA, 388 nt
Filed under: uncultured bacterium
Lineage: Bacteria
Description: bacterial SSU rRNA
Rfam family: Bacterial small subunit ribosomal RNA
Source: RNAcentral
GGCAGACGGGUGAGUAACGCGUGGGAACGUACCUUUUGGUUCGGAACAACACAGGGAAACUUGUGCUAAUACCGGAUAAGCCCUUACGGGGAAAGAUUUAUCGCCGAAAGAUCGGCCCGCGUCUGAUUAGCUAGUUGGUAGGGUAACGGCCUACCAAGGCGACGAUCAGUAGCUGGUCUGAGAGGAUGAUCAGCCACAUUGGGACCGAGACACGGCCCAAACUCCUACGGGAGGCAGCAGUGGGGAAUAUCGGACAAUGGGCGCAAGCCUGAUCCAGCCAUGCCGCGUGAGUGAUGAAGGCCCUAGGGUUGUAAAGCUCUUUUGUGCGGGAAGAUAAUGACGGUACCGCAAGAAUAAGCCCCGGCUAACUUCGUGCCAGCCGCCGCGG